GACGAACGCUGGCGGCGUGCCUAAUACAUGCAAGUCGAACGCAGUGGGGACGGGUGAGUAACACGUGGGUCACCUCCCAUCAGAGGGGAUAACACUUGGAAACAGCUGCUAAACCGAUACUGAUGGAUGGACCCGCGGUGCAUUAGCUAGUUGGUGGGGUAACGGCUCACAAAGGCCAAGAUGCAUAGCCGACCUGAGAGGGGAAGCGGCCACACGGGGACGGAGACACGGCCCAGACUCCUACGGGAGGCAGAAGUAGGGAAUCUUCGGCAAUGGACGAAAGUCUGACCGAGCAACGCCACGUGAGUGAAGAAGGUUUUCGGAGCGUAAAACGCUGUGGUUAGAGAAGCGGUAUCUAACCAGAAAGCCACGGCUAACUACGUGCCAGCAGCCGCGGUAAUUC
Molecule: ribosomal RNA, 403 nt
Filed under: uncultured bacterium
Lineage: Bacteria
Description: partial 16S ribosomal RNA
Rfam family: Bacterial small subunit ribosomal RNA
Source: RNAcentral